RNAcentral lists this ribosomal RNA (585 nucleotides) under uncultured bacterium. Its description in RNAcentral is "partial 16S ribosomal RNA". It matches the Rfam family "Bacterial small subunit ribosomal RNA", at positions 355 to 1375 of the family's 1533-position model. The record is from RNAcentral.
UGGGGAAUUUUGGACAAUGGGCGAAAGCCUGAUCCAGCAAUGCCGCGUGUGUGAAGAAGGCCUUCGGGUUGUAAAGCACUUUUGUCCGGAAAGAAAUCCUUGGCUCUAAUACAGUCGGGGGAUGACGGUACCGGAAGAAUAAGCACCGGCUAACUACGUGCCAGCAGCCGCGGUAAUACGUAGGGUGCAAGCGUUAAUCGGAAUUACUGGGCGUAAAGCGUGCGCAGGCGGUUUGCUAAGACCGAUGUGAAAUUCCCGGGCUCAACCUGGGAACUGCAUUGGUGACUGGCAGGCUAGAGUAUGGCAGAGGGGGGUAGAAUUCCACGUGUAGCAGUGAAAUGCGUAGAGAUGUGGAGGAAUACCGAUGGCGAAGGCAGCCCCCUGGGCCAAUACUGACGCUCAUGCACGAAAGCGUGGGGAGCAAACAGGAUUAGAUACCCUGGUAGUCCACGCCCUAAACGAUGUCAACUAGUUGUUGGGGAUUCAUUUCCUUAGUAACGUAGCUAACGCGUGAAGUUGACCGCCUGGGGAGUACGGUCGCAAGAUUAAAACUUAAAUGAAUUGACGGGGUCAUAGCUGUUUCCU